Seriola aureovittata is the source of this 821-nucleotide long non-coding RNA. RefSeq lists it as uncharacterized. Lineage: Eukaryota; Metazoa; Chordata; Actinopteri; Carangiformes; Carangidae. The record is from RefSeq and is a predicted model, not a curated record. The transcript is spliced from 4 exons.
AUCGAUAAACACACAGAGAGAAAGCGCCCCACAAACGGUAGAAACCUGGUCAUGAGAAGGUGCUGUACUGAUAUUAUUGCGUGAAACACAGAGUUAAACCUGGACGAGAUCAGAGAAGCCUGCUGGCACCACAGAAGAGGGUGAUGGGAAAAAUGCUGCCGUGGGCCAUCUGGCAGCUGGACCGUCGUCUGUGUGGCUUCAUUAACUCAGUGAACCUGCAUCAGGUAAGUGAUCCACUUACUCACUUCCUGAGUUAAUACUGUUAAUGUACGAGGCUGCUGAUGCCGAGCAGUGACUCAAAUCACUUCUUUUCUGUCCCCUCUGCUGCCUGAUUACAUUUUUUUAAUUUUCAUCUGCUACACGAAGCCCUUGUGUUAUGUUAAUUUCAUUUGGUGUGGAAAAAUAAGUGAAGAAAUUGUUUAUUUUCAAUAUUUUCUGUUUUCUAUCAUUUGUGUUCACAAGAAAACUAAGUGAUCUAAUUGUCUGAAAACAGCUGUUUAUGUUGUAACCAUGACAACAGAGAUUGUCUGGUGUUGAAGAAGUACUUAUUUUAACCCGAAUCAUCGUCUUUUCCUAAACCUAACCGAGCUGUGCCCGACCAUGGCGACGAAGGUCCGGUCCGCGUGUUUGUUAUUGUAACCAUGACAACCAGUACGCCUCCCGCCAUAUGGGGCGCUAUUUCAGGAGACACUCCUGUGGGGGCGCAUUGGAAGGUUGAAAAAAAUUACCUGUUUGUGUUCAGAAAUGACACGCCAGUCUCCUGUCGGGCACGCGCAUCCUCGGGCACGAGCAGCGCAUAAAUUGAGCAGCGCGCGCACGGG